AUGGGAACGGGAACCGGGAAUGGGAACGGGCCAGAGAACGGAAAUGGGACAGGGCCGGGAACGGGACCCGAACCGGGAACAGGGCAGGGAACGGGGCCUGCACCGGGGCCCCAGCCCAGGCCCCCAUCCCGGUCCAGACCCCAAGGCCCACCCCAGACCCCCCGGUCUGGCACCAAAUCCAGCCCCGGAGCCCCGGGCCGGCCCCUCCCGGUGCCUUCACCCCGUUCUGCCGGGCGACCCCUCGGGCAGGAGCUGCAGGAGCCCCCUAAAGCCCCUCGGGAGCAGAAACCUUCAUCAUCACCAUCAUCAUCAUCAUCCCCCGGAGCCUCCCGGGACAGGGAACAGCAGCAUUCACAGAGGAUUUCCAGCCACCACAGGACGCUCGCAGGGAGGUCAGGGCUGCCCGGGAUGGGAUGAUCUGCCCCGGGUGCAGGAGAACUGCCCGUGCCACCUUCCAGCCUCUGCAGCCUUUCCCUGGAAGCUUUCCUCCUGCCACAGAGGCCAGAGCUGUGAUUCCCGUCGGGACACGGAGCACCCAAGGCUCUCCAGCAGAGCUGUGGGGUCCGGCUGCUCUGCCAGGGGGUUGGGAAUAAAAAUAAACAGUCUUGGUCCUUUCCUGCGUGUGGCACAGAGGCAACGCAGAGCCACGGUGGCCUCGGAUUUGGGGACGGACAAAUCCCGUUCCCAAAGCUCGGCACAAACUUGCAGCUCCUGCUUUUUACCGACACUCCUCUCUUUCGCCCAAGGCUUCUCCCUGCUGUGUGUCCUUCCCUGCCUUGUCCCUCUUGUCAGGCUGAGUGUGGCCAGGGAUGCUCUGUUCCGGGACAGAACAGCGCUGACACACCCAAGCCCAGCAGAUGGGUGACCCCUGCCCGCCCCCGAGGGGGCACCUCUGGGGUCCUCCCACCUGGAGGGGCCACUGGAGCAGAAAAUGUCACUGGAGUCUCCUGUCGAGGUGGCCUCUCCCCCCUCAAGCCAAAGCAACUCCCCUUGAGCACUCUGAUGGAAAAGGAACCACAGAAGCCUCCGAAAUAGAGGAAGCUGAGUAAAUCCAACACUUGAGAGCAAAGCCA
Cyanistes caeruleus (blue tit) is the source of this 1073-nucleotide long non-coding RNA. RefSeq lists it as uncharacterized. The record is from RefSeq and is a predicted model, not a curated record. Lineage: Eukaryota; Metazoa; Chordata; Aves; Passeriformes; Paridae.